UGAGGAAUAUUGGGCAAUGCCCGCAAGGGUGACCCAGCAACGCCGCGUGGAGGAUGAAUGUCGUAAGAUUGUAAACUCCUGUUAGAGGGGAAGAAUAGUACCGGUUGGACCGGUAUAUGACUGUACCCUCAGAGAAAGCCCCGGCUAACUACGUGCCAGCAGCCGCGGUAAUACGUAGGGGGCAAGCGUUGUCCGGAUUUACUGGGUGUAAAGGGCGCGCAGGCGGGAUAAAAAGUCAGUGGUGAAAUCCUACAGCUUAACUGUAGAACUGCCUUUGAGAAUUUUAUUCUUGAGUUCGGGAGGGAGAGACGGAAUUCCAGGUGUAGUUGUGAAAUACGGAGAUAUCUGGAAGAACACCAGUUGCGAAGGCGGUCUCUUGGUCCGACACUGACGCUGAGGCGCGAAAGCGUGGGGAGCAAA
Molecule: ribosomal RNA, 420 nt
Filed under: uncultured bacterium
Lineage: Bacteria
Description: bacterial SSU rRNA
Rfam family: Bacterial small subunit ribosomal RNA
Source: RNAcentral